CAACCCUGCUUCUUCUCGCAAAGUGUUUAGGGCCAGAAGCGUCUUCAGUUCAGUAUAGGGCAUUUGUAACGGUACUGUCUACCAAACGACCUGGCUUUUGAAAGUAGGCUAAUGACGAGAAGACUGAACUGAAUAUGAAAUACAACGACAGAAAAUGUCAAGUCUGUUCAAAGGACCUUCCUCGGUUGAUGGCGCACGAACACCUGCUGCAGCCGCACUUUUGCUGAGUCUUGGGCAGAAAGCUCUCAAGGCCAUUUCAAAUUUGCACAUGUUCCAUCUGGAGGGAGAUCACAGCGGAGGUGAAUUUCUUGCCGAACAUCUAAGUGGAGAUAUGGGGCUCCAUACCACAUGACGGCCUUCGGCUGCCAAAUGGCGCGCUCCCGUUUGGACCAACUUCAAGGCAAUCCUGCCAGACUACCGCAGUCUGUGGAUUCUCAAAGACAUGCAAAUGUGCAUUUUUGAAUUGCAAUUUAAUCAGAAAUACUGUGCACAGAUUUUCAGAGUGGAAUGUCUGAGCGUAGUGCAUGGCUAAAUGUGACAUUUUACAAGUCAAAUUAACUAAUCCCACAUAUCCAAUAAUGUAAAGCUCAACGUUAAGAAGGUGUAAAUAGUGUGUAAGCGUUUGAAAUAGAUCAAGACAUUCCAAGUAUUUUAGUCUGUGCAUUGUUUAUAUUUGAAGAAUAUUUAAUCGGGAUUUCAGAGGUUUGCAACUAUAAAUGAUUCACAUCUAGACGCAGGAAGAUCUGGAUAUGCUCCGACAUGACUAGCAUGGAUCAGUUUCUCUGAAGACUUUGUUUCUCCUGAGCAGCAACACUGUGGAUGUUCAUACUUGAUGGGUCAGUGUAAUAGGCUAGUUGGAAGUGAACCGAGAAGACACAUCUGUAACAGUGAUAAUCACAUUCUUCUUUGUCUACACGUCCAAUUCCAAAUGGUACUAAAACUAAUUUUCCCUGAGAGACUGGCAGUCCAUUGAGGCUCCAGAGCUGUACUUAAUGUGCUAGACCUUGAUAAAUCGAUGUUAACAGAGGGUCAUGGCCUGAUGAAUGGCUUAUUUUAUUCUGGACUUUGCCUGAUUCAGCCUCCAAGUCAAUGUCUUCAUGAUCCAAGUUCACAGAUUAAGUCGGAUGUUUCUUCUUCUUUUUCCGCUUUUCCCCUUUUUUCCCCUCUCCAAAUUUCAGUGAUUGCUGUCAUGCACCGUCAGUUUCCAUACUACAGACCACACAGUAAGAGAGCUUGAGCCAAUCAGGGGAGUGGCCUUUUUCUCAGGGCCAGGGGUGCACACCUGUGUGUGCCUCUGUGGGGAGGAGCUUUACAACAGUGACAUAAGGAACACUGGCUGACUUAAAUUCACCCCACCCUACCCUUGGCAGAUCAAAGCCUGUUGUCCCAUCAAUAUUGACUCCCAGUCAUGGAUGACAAAUGUAACAGCCCAAGCUCGAACCUUUGGCUGUAAGGUUCAGCCAUCGCUUUUAGUGAGCAUCAGAGCACUACUCAGGGCCUGUUUUAGUUUUUCUGAAAUUGCUUCAUCACUUUAAGCUUUCAUGUCAGCCAAAUGUGUCCAGAUUUUUAUUGUUUUAAGGAGGUGGAGAAAUUGUCGGUCUAAAUGGCUUUACAUUUGAGACUAAAUUUAUUCAUCCGAAUCAUUUUAAUUUUGAUAAUUGAAAGUCGGAAAUGUAACCACUCUGAAGAAAGAACUUUUGCAUACAAUUACUAACAAAAGGUUUGUCUGGGUUAUUUCAGCAUUAAAGAACACCAGUGUUGAGAACUGCAUUUUAAAGAGAUUAGAGAUCACAUUCCACAGAUUUAAUAAUAUAAAUUAUUGGAUUGUGACCUCAGGGUAUUAAUGCUUUUGACCUUCUAGACAUGUUUUACUGGAUGCAUUUAUAGCAAACCAUUAUAACAUGUUCAGCAACCAGUUAAACAUAAUGGUCAGGUUAACAUACUUUUUUUUCCAUUCCAUUUUCCCCCAACUUGAUAUUUCUCCCAUUUCAGAAAUAUCAAAUCUAAGCCAAAAUAGUACAAUCAAGUCACAAAGUAACCCAUAAAUUCAAUUAAAUGCACUUAGCCAGGUUAAGGGCAUAUGCAAUUCAGUCAAACCAGACUUAGGUUGUUUUGUACUCAAUCAAACAAAAGCUUAAAGCUCUUAUAGAUUGAAAAUCCAAGAGACAGGAAAGGGUUUUGUCUGAACACAAGGAAGGUUCAGGCUGGAUCGUAAAACUCGACAACUUCGCCGCUGGACUCAAUUCCUGGAUUUGAUGAAUACUGUACUUAUGAAUUAGUUGAUUAAAAUUAUUGACACAUAAACAAGGCACUGCUCUGACACUGAGAGAGUUCUGGGAAAGAGAUGAAAAACAUUCCAAGUAUUGCACAGAAGGAAAAACCGUACUUGUCCGUUCCAACCAACUCAGUUGAUUCAGGAUAAUGUGUUUCUUCCUGUGGAUUAGUUUACACAAAGCACUGCCGAAGAAUGACAGAGGAGACUGUUAAACAACAGAUGACGAUCUAAUCACCAACCUUGCAUUUCUAUUUAAUUUGAGUUCCUAAAUAAUAUUUGCGCAAGUAACUGUAGUUUUUAUGUUUAUUUCCCAUUGCCUAGAGAAAAACAGUGUUACUGCCAAAUACCAUUAAAAUGUCUGCCACAUAGCUGCGGUUCAUUGUCUGCGUUUAAUUGGUAGUAAUUGAUGUGAAAUGUAGGGACACAUUGUUGGGGCGAUGUGAUAAUUGACUGACAAGAAGGUUCUAUUGACCUCUUUCUGAGGGAUGACUGCAUUGCAGGUAUGAACGAAC
Molecule: long non-coding RNA, 2787 nt
Organism: Anguilla anguilla (European eel)
Lineage: Eukaryota; Metazoa; Chordata; Actinopteri; Anguilliformes; Anguillidae
Exons: 3
Source: RefSeq, a predicted model, not a curated record